This 462-nucleotide ribosomal RNA is filed under the name uncultured bacterium. RNAcentral's name for it is "partial 16S ribosomal RNA". It matches the Rfam family "Bacterial small subunit ribosomal RNA", at positions 28 to 507 of the family's 1533-position model. The record is from RNAcentral.
GAUGAACGCUGGCGGCGUGCUUAACACAUGCAAGUCGAACGGAAAGGCCCUGCGGUUUCCUCGAUUGCCGAACGGGUGGGUGAGAGGUGGGCGAUCUGCUCUGCACCUUGUGAUAAGGCUGGGAAACUGGGUCUAAUACCGAAUAGGACCACGCGCUUCUGGGUGUGUGGGUGAAAUCUUUUGCGGCGUGGUUUGGGCCCGAGGUCGAUCAGCUUGGUGGUGGUGUAAUGGCUUACCAAGGCCACGACGGGUAGCCGGCCUGGGAGGGUGACCGGCCACACUGGGACUGAGAUACGGACCAGACUCCUACGGGAGGCAGCAGUGGGGAAUAUUGCACAAUGGGCGCAAGCCUGAUGCAGCGACGCCGCGUGAGGGAUGACGGCCUUCGAGUUGUAAACCUCUUUCAAUAGGGACGAAGCGCAAGUGACGGUACCUAUAGAAGAAGCACCGGCCAACUACGUG